Aegilops tauschii subsp. strangulata is the source of this 1452-nucleotide non-coding RNA. NCBI's taxonomy places the organism in Eukaryota, Viridiplantae, Streptophyta, Magnoliopsida, Poales, Poaceae. The record is from RefSeq and is a predicted model, not a curated record.
CUUAACCCUGUGAAGAUUCAGAGGAGUUGCUUUGUGUUUUUUUACGGGGAGUCGCUUUGUAGUAUUAUCAGAGGAAAAAAAGGGAGAUGUUUUUCCUUUAUUAUAGUGAUGAUGGAGGCCUUAACAGGAAGUAGAUGAUAAGUGGUAUGUACUCCCUCGGUAUCUAAAUAUUGAAAAACAGUAUAACUGAGCCACUUAGGCCCUUCCACAGCGAUUUGGCUCUCUAAACCGUCCGAUUAGCUCAUUCAAUGUUGUCGAUUGUCCCGUUGUUUCACUGUGCAUGCCCGACAGCCUUUUACCACUCCACCUCAAGCGUCCCGGCCGGCCCAACACUAAAUGGGCUGCUGCUCCGAUGAACGACUUGGAGGCCCUCUAAUGCACUGACGUUGUGUAGCCUGCGAUCGUGAAUAGACGGUUGGUGUCGGCGCAGAGGCAGGGGAGCACGCGAGGGCCGCAUGCCUCUCGAGAGCGAUGGCGGCGGCGGCGGCCUCCUCACACCACCGCACACCUUCCCUGACCGCCAUACACCUUCCCUGAGCAGCAGCAGACCACCGCAUCCGCUACUUCCUCUUGUCCUCCCAUCCUCCAUCACUGUUCGAACAACAUCGACCCCGCGACGGCAGGAAGAAGAUGCCUCAUGGUUUUCCGGUAGCUUCCUUUGAUGCUAAGGUGCUCGCUGCAGGGGAAGAAAAAGAAGCGAUGAAGAAUAGAUGGUGUGCAGACGCCGCUGGAACCCUCUGGCUAUUAGCCCCUCCCACCACUUCCAUCUGAGGCUCGGAUCCAAUUCUUGCAAUCGACUCCAAAGGGAUCUCUCUGGCGACGGCGAUGUAUUUCCGUUGAGCGUCAUCCAGUUUCUCCAGUGUGCUCACUCCAGGAGACGAACACAUGAGGUGGUCACUACACCAUGAGGAGAUACAGACUAGAGUUUUCUCUCUGAUUGGGUGAAUGUAUUUUCUUGACUGAUUCUUACGGGCACACAAUUCUUAUCUGCCCGUCUAUUGCUGGCAGGCCUCAGCAGUCAGCAUAUUAUGUGCUUUUCUUAAUUCUGAAUUUCCAAUUCUAUUUGGAUUGGAUGCAAUGAGUCAUAUUCAAAGACAUCCUAGCAUUCAUUAGAACUGAAGUAGUAUAUACCCAUGAUUCAAAACAAUGUUACCCGUAAAGCACCUGCUAAUGGUAAAAAUUAUUGGCAAAUGGGUAUGUAGUGUUAGUGUUAGUGUUAGUUCAGUGGAUCGGUCAAUCUAACCUGACCUUGAAUUUGCAAAUAUGUUCUAUCAGAAGGAAGGAUCGCAUUUCUAUAUAUUCGUCCCUUGGGUGUUCAAAUUCAAGCAGAGUUCUUGCUUAAUUAAGCAAUCUUUCUUCUGUCAAAAUAUCAAACAUUCUUUCUCUAUGGCUGUGGACUUGAAGCAAUGUAUCUCGAACCAUUCAAAAUAUACAAUUCAUUUUAAAUUCUCA